This 407-nucleotide ribosomal RNA is filed under the name uncultured bacterium. Its description in RNAcentral is "partial 16S ribosomal RNA". It matches the Rfam family "Bacterial small subunit ribosomal RNA", at positions 28 to 526 of the family's 1533-position model. The record is from RNAcentral.
GACGAACGCUGGCGGCGUGCCUAAUACAUGCAAGUAGGACGCAGUUGCGAACGGGUGAGUAACGCGUAGGUAACUGCCUAUUAGAGGGGGAUAACUAUUGGAAACGAUAGCUAAUACCGCAUACUAGUAGAUGGACCUGCGUUGUAUUAGCUAGUAGGUAGGGUAAUGGCCUACCUAGGCGACGAUACAUAGCCGCACGGAGAGGGGGAUCGGCAACACUGGGACUGGGACACGGCCCAGAAUCCUACGGGAGGCAGCAGUAGGGAAUCUUCGGACAUGGGGGGAACCCUGACCGAGCAACGCCGCGUGAGUGAAGAAGGUUUUCGGAUCGGAAAGCUCUGUUGUUAAGGAAGCGGUACUUAACCAGAAAGGGACGGCUAACUACGGGCCAGCAGCCGCGGUAAUUC